RNAcentral lists this ribosomal RNA (498 nucleotides) under uncultured bacterium. RNAcentral's name for it is "partial 16S ribosomal RNA". It matches the Rfam family "Bacterial small subunit ribosomal RNA", at positions 28 to 508 of the family's 1533-position model. The record is from RNAcentral.
GAUGAACGCUGGCGGCGUGCCUAAUACAUGCAAGUCGAGCGAACAGACGAGGAGCUUGCUCCUCUGACGUUAGCGGCGGACGGGUGAGUAACACGUGGAUAACCUACCUAUAAGACUGGGAUAACUUCGGGAAACCGGAGCUAAUACCGGAUAAUAUAUUGAACCGCAUGGUUCAAUAGUGAAAGACGGUUUUGCUGUCACUUAUAGAUGGAUCCGCGCCGCAUUAGCUAGUUGGUAAGGUAACGGCUUACCAAGGCAACGAUGCGUAGCCGACCUGAGAGGGUGAUCGGCCACACUGGAACUGAGACACGGUCCAGACUCCUACGGGAGGCAGCAGUAGGGAAUCUUCCGCAAUGGGCGAAAGCUUGACGGAGCAACGCCGCGUGAGUGAUGAAGGUCUUCGGAUCGUAAAACUCUGUUAUUAGGGAAGAACAAAUGUGUAAGUAACUAUGCACGUCUUGACGGUACCUAAUCAGAAAGCCACGGCUAACGACGUGC